Molecule: ribosomal RNA, 548 nt
Filed under: uncultured Burkholderia sp.
Lineage: Bacteria; Pseudomonadati; Pseudomonadota; Betaproteobacteria; Burkholderiales; Burkholderiaceae
Description: bacterial SSU rRNA
Rfam family: Bacterial small subunit ribosomal RNA
Source: RNAcentral
UGGGGAAUUUUGGACAAUGGGGGCAACCCUGAUCCAGCAAUGCCGCGUGUGUGAAGAAGGCCUUCGGGUUGUAAAGCACUUUUGUCCGGAAAGAAAACCUCCGUCCUAAUACGGUGGGGGGAUGACGGUACCGGAAGAAUAAGCACCGGCUAACUACGUGCCAGCAGCCGCGGUAAUACGUAGGGUGCAAGCGUUAAUCGGAAUUACUGGGCGUAAAGCGUGCGCAGGCGGUUCGCUAAGACCGAUGUGAAAUCCCCGGGCUUAACCUGGGAACUGCAUUGGUGACUGGCGGGCUAGAGUAUGGCAGAGGGGGGUAGAAUUCCACGUGUAGCAGUGAAAUGCGUAGAGAUGUGGAGGAAUACCGAUGGCGAAGGCAGCCCCCUGGGCCAAUACUGACGCUCAUGCACGAAAGCGUGGGGAGCAAACAGGAUUAGAUACCCUGGUAGUCCACGCCCUAAACGAUGUCAACUAGUUGUCGGGUCUUCAUUGACUUGGUAACGAAGCUAACGCGUGAAGUUGACCGCCUGGGGAGUACGGUCGCAAGAUUA